AGAACUUUGGUCUGAGCUUUGAAUUCAGUGUGCAAAGCCUGUCAUUUCCUUAUGUGCCUGUCCAAAUGACCAUGUAAAUUAAUUAUGCUUUCAGUAUUUUUAUAUUCUGUUCUACUUCUGUUUUUCUUUUUUUUUUAAAAAAUGUUCAAUUAGUUUGCAAUGGUCUAAGCAAAUGAGGAAAUCUGCCAGAUUAUUGACUACUGCUUUAUUUGAAAAAUAUUUAUGAAAUCCUGAAUGGUUACAAAUGUCCCAAAUGGUUAGCUUAUUUCUGAAAGCUUAAAACUCUGCUAAAGGGAUAUACACCAUUUUAAUGCAACUAUGAACAGAGAUACUAGUGUGCUUGAGUUGGUAGGGGUUACGUGGAACUCAUUUUUGCAUCUUGUAUGUGCCACCCUGCUUAAUCCUUUAUAUGUGUAGGAUUUUAUUUUAUACUUAUAAGAAACUUUCAAGGUAAGUUUUAAGUGUCUUCAUUGUAAAGAUGUGGACUCAGAAAAUUUAUGUGACCAGGAAGCUUCCAACCAUGAAUUUAGACUAAUCUGUGUAAUUCCCAAAUCUGUGCUGCUUGUACCACCACCUGCCUCCCUCUAAAUGUUGAUUUGCUUCCCUAGUAAGUAGUUUCUGAA
Molecule: long non-coding RNA, 623 nt
Organism: Phyllostomus discolor (pale spear-nosed bat)
Lineage: Eukaryota; Metazoa; Chordata; Mammalia; Chiroptera; Phyllostomidae
Exons: 2
Source: RefSeq, a predicted model, not a curated record